Molecule: non-coding RNA, 266 nt
Organism: Fukomys damarensis (Damara mole-rat)
Lineage: Eukaryota; Metazoa; Chordata; Mammalia; Rodentia; Bathyergidae
Source: Rfam
AGAAGGAUGAUCUGGCUGUGGCAUCUGUCACCCCAUUCAUCACCACAGUUGCUUUGGCUGAUCUAGUUGGUUCUGUGGUAAUGCCCUUCCUCCCUUACCACUCCAUGUGGUAUGACCUUCCUGGAUAGAGGAGGACUAUUCUUUGGUCAAGGUAUAUGAAUAGAUGUGGCCUCUGCUAGAACCUCUAAACAAGCUUUCAAGAAAGCAAUCUCAAAAGACAGAAGGGAGGCUGGGUAUGGUAGGGCAUGCCUAUAAUCCUAGCUCUC